Molecule: transfer RNA, 63 nt
Filed under: Fukomys damarensis (Damara mole-rat)
Lineage: Eukaryota; Metazoa; Chordata; Mammalia; Rodentia; Bathyergidae
Rfam family: tRNA
About the family: Transfer RNA (tRNA) molecules are approximately 80 nucleotides in length. Their secondary structure includes four short double-helical elements and three loops (D, anti-codon, and T loops).
Source: Rfam by way of RNAcentral
GUAUGGCUAAUUAGUAGAACACUUGCCUAGCAUGCAUGAAGCUCUGGGUUCAACUCCCAGUAC